Platichthys flesus (European flounder) is the source of this 1414-nucleotide RNA transcript. It is a transcript of the gene named aldo-keto reductase family 1, member A1a (aldehyde reductase), with no coding region annotated. Lineage: Eukaryota; Metazoa; Chordata; Actinopteri; Pleuronectiformes; Pleuronectidae. The transcript has 9 exons. The record is from RefSeq and is a predicted model, not a curated record.
UUUCCAUCUGUUUGAGUUGCAGAAAAACAAAUGAUGUCAGACUUUGACCUCAGUCUGUUGAAACCCAGGACGACCACUGGUCCCUCCGGCAGAACGACCCCAGCAGGAACAUGAGCCGCUUUGUGACUCUCUCAACGGGGCAGAAGAUGCCCACGGUCGGACUCGGCACAUGGAAGAGUGCCCCGGGACAGGUGAAGCAGUCGGUGCUGGCUGCUUUAGACUGUGGCUACAGACACAUCGACUGUGCUGCUGCGUACAGCAAUGAGCUGGAGGUCGGAGAGGCUCUGGCUCUGAGGGUCGGACCUGGGAAGGCUCUGCUUCGUGAGGAGCUGUUUGUGACGUCCAAACUGUGGAACACCAAGCACGACCCACAGGAUGUGGAAGAAGCCUGCAGGACCAGUCUAGCCCACCUGGGUCUCUCCUACCUGGACCUGUACCUGGUGCACUGGCCCAUGGCAUUUCAGCCAGGGAACGAGCUGAUGCCUCGACGGGACGAUGGGAGCAUCUGUUACUCGGACACACACUACAGAGACACGUGGGCGGCCAUGGAGAGUCUGGUGGACAAAGGUUGGGUCCGGGCAAUAGGGCUGUCCAACUUCAAUGCCAGGCAGACUGAUGACAUCAUCAAAGUGGCCAGACACAAACCUGUGAUGAACCAGGUGGAAUGUCAUCCUUACUUGUCCCAAGCUGAUCUCCUGUCACACUGUCGGUCGGUGUCGGUGUGUGUGACAGCCUACAGUCCCCUGGGCAGCGGGGACAGACCCUGGGCCUCCCCCGACCAGCCAAGUCUGCUGGAGGAUCCUCGACUGGCAGCCAUCGCCCAGAGAUACCAGAAGACACCUGCCCAGGUCAUUCUCAGGUGGCACGUUCAGAGAGGUGUGGUGUGCAUCCCCAAAAGUGUGACGCCCUCCAGGAUCCAGCAGAACUUGCAGGUGUUUGAUUUUUCCCUGACGGACCUCGACAUGAAGCUGAUUGAAUCCUUCAACCGAAACGAGCGCUUCAUCGUCCCAACAGUCGAGGUGAGUCCCUGAUGUUGUAUCGCCUCAGAAUAUUUCUAAACUUGUGUAUAUUCAUCCUUAACUGACAUCUCAGGCACAUACGAUUGUUUUUAACGGAACAUGUUGAUACAUCAGACUGGAAUCCCUGAUGUCGGGAUGGUAAGAGUGUGUGGAGAGAUGCAGAACAUCCUCAUUUCCCCUUCCAUGAUUCCUACUGAGUUUAUCCCCACCAACUACAAUACUGUUGAUCAUUGGUUCAUACGCUAUUUAUUUUUUUAAUUAAAAUGUAAUUUCCCUCUUUAAGAUCAACAAUUUAUUGACUUAAUUUUGCAGUAACAUUGUUUGUUACAUGAUUUCAAGCCAAUUCUUUCAAUUCUUUAAAUUGCAAUGAACAAUAAAGUGAUUAUUCCAACACA